This 460-nucleotide ribosomal RNA is filed under the name uncultured bacterium. RNAcentral's name for it is "SSU rRNA". It matches the Rfam family "Bacterial small subunit ribosomal RNA", at positions 26 to 518 of the family's 1533-position model. The record is from RNAcentral.
AGAAUCAACGCUGGCGGCGUGCCUAACACAUGCAAGUCGCACGAGAAAGGGGCUUCGGCCCUGAGUAAAGUGGCGCACGGGUGAGUAACACGUGACUAACCUACCCUCGAGUGGGGAAUAACCUAGAGAAAUCUGGGCUAAUACCGCAUAACACUUACGAGUCAAAGCAGCAAUGCGCUUGAGGAGGGGGUCGCGGCAGAUUAGUUAGUUGGCAGGGUAAUGGCCUACCAAGACAAUGAUCUGUAUCCGGCCUGAGAGGGCGCACGGACACACUGGAACUGAAACACGGUCCAGACUCCUACGGGAGGCAGCAGUGGGGAAUUUUGCGCAAUGGGGGAAACCCUGACGCAGCAACGCCGCGUGGAGGAUGAAAUCCCUUGGGAUGUAAACUCCUUUCGAUAGGGAAGAUAAUGACGGUACCUAUAGAAGAAGCCCCGGCUAACUUCGCGCCAGCAGCCGC